Molecule: long non-coding RNA, 844 nt
Organism: Rosa rugosa (rugosa rose)
Lineage: Eukaryota; Viridiplantae; Streptophyta; Magnoliopsida; Rosales; Rosaceae
Exons: 6
Source: RefSeq, a predicted model, not a curated record
CCUCCCCUCUUCAUUGACUGAUUUUUAUUAUAACAGACAAUUGUUAUUACAACAAAUUUAGAAAGUAAUCUUAGAAUAAGACUAAGCUUUAUCUGAUUUCAUAGAAUAAGCUUUUAGUUUGCUUUGCUCAUUGUUAUUAUUAUAAGACACAAUCUUUAAGAAAUUAGUUUUCUACAAUAAACUGAAAAAAUGAAAGAAAGACCAUAUAGACGAAGAUGAUAGGAAGUCUUGCAAUAGGAGGUCUUGCGUUCUUGGAAUCAAAAUAAGAAGGGAAGAGGUCUGUGAUCGGAGAUAGUGUUUUAUUGAUGUUGCUUUACUCAUUCGAGAAGCCUCCACUGAUAUCGGUAUCCACUGUUUAGCAAUUUCAUUCUUAUCCACCACAAUCAAUAGGAAUCAAGGCUUGAUUAGGUAGCAUUUGAGGUGUUGUCAAUUGUGAAGCUGCUGCUGCUGCUGACAUUCCAAUUAUCUUUCUCAGGCCCAACAAAAGAGCUCCUCCUAAGUUAGUCGAACUUCAGUUGAUUAACCCUUGAGUCAAGUGAUGGCAUCUUCGAGUAGGACGAAGCGAGUGGAAAGAUUGUUUGGAGGGACUAAAUGUAAUAGUAUGUUUUUUGCGUGGAGAUGAAUUGGAUCAAGUUGAUUCAAAGAGAUGGAAAAGAACAUUCGAUAAUGCAUCCAAGGAAUAGCAGCCGUCAAAGACUUCUGAUACACCAAGUUUCACACCAAUUUAUUCAUUGUAAUCAGAACAUUUCCAUUUUGUACAAACCAAACCCUUUAUGUAAAAUAUUAUGGAAUACAAUGUAAACAAAUGAAAUCCCGCAGCAAAGCGCGGGCAAAUCUUUCUAGU